This 619-nucleotide long non-coding RNA is filed under the name Setaria italica (foxtail millet). Its description in RNAcentral is "long non-coding RNA (SITA_LNC002599)". The record is from RNAcentral. Lineage: Eukaryota; Viridiplantae; Streptophyta; Magnoliopsida; Poales; Poaceae.
GAGUAACUAAACAUGGCCUAAACUCGCCGGACCGCAUCGAGAUUUACCAGAGUGUGCACGGAAUAAACGUAGAUCGCCAUCUUCUAGCUACCUAGUGGAUCAAUUCGCACAUGAUCGAAAUAAAAUCCGGUCAAAAUGCUCGCCGCGCUGCGCAUUCGUGUUUGACCCGGCCCAGGGCCGCCCGGCCGCAGGCGCAGGUCAAACCCGCCAGGCAGGCAGGUUUCCCUCCGCUAGCCGCCGCCGCCUCCGCCUGCCGGUUUCCCUCCGCGGGCUUGGGCCUCGGUGGUGGCCAGGCUUCGCUCGCUUCGCCAAAUUAUUAACCGCGCGCACGUGUGCUUACGCUAGUAGUACGCGUACCUUCUCGAUCAUCCUCGGCUUAAUUUCUAGUGGCCUCCGCCUAAUUAGCGUCACCUCCUUGCGCUGUAAUUAAGCCCGGCGUUGACACUGCGUGCGUAGUGUGAGUUUUUUUAGGGGGUGUUUGGAUACAAGGUGCUAAACUUUAACAGUGUCACAUCGGAUGUUCGGAUGCUAAUUAAAUGGUCUAAACAUGAGCUAAUUAUAAAACUAAUUGCAGAACCCUAUGCUAAUUGGUGAGAUGAAUCUAUUAAGCCUAAUUAAU